UACGUCUCACGUGACUGGCGAAAAGCUGCAACUGUCCCCAUUUUGGUGCGAUGAUUGCCGGCGAAAGGUGGGCAUCCACCGGGAAACGUGAGAUUUCAUCAGCCGUUCGCCUGGGCAGCCCAC
RNAcentral lists this non-coding RNA (123 nucleotides) under Janthinobacterium psychrotolerans. Its description in RNAcentral is "Janthinobacterium sp. S3-2 pfl RNA". It matches the Rfam family "ZMP/ZTP riboswitch aptamer (pfl RNA motif)". From Rfam's summary of the family: Previously known as pfl RNA. ZMP is also known as AICAR. Lineage: Bacteria; Pseudomonadati; Pseudomonadota; Betaproteobacteria; Burkholderiales; Oxalobacteraceae. The record is from RNAcentral.